AAACGCGGCUGUUUUUACAGUAUCUGUUAGUUUUUAGUACCGUUGAGCAAAGGAGACGCAUUGCUUGCGAGGCGUGACUUGCGGGAGCGAGAUAUGCAGUUGCUGAGGGAAGACAGUCAGCAGAGAUAAGCUACAAGCUUAGAGCGCUGUCCGAACGGACCUGUCAUGCCAGUUGUGUUCAGUUUGAUUUACCGGUUACAUGUAAUGCUUCAUCUCGGUCCGUAUGUACAUAAUCGGUGGUUAUACGCUACACUACGAUAUCGUAUUACGCUGAAUUCGUUGUUGCGCGACCUCGGCGAAUACAAAAUUAUUCACUCGUUUGGGCAUAGCGUCCAGUACAUUGGAAUGAAAUAGCCAAACCAUCAGGAACACAGCAAGGAGGGUGACCAAUGGGAACACAGCAAGUAGUGCGACCAAUAGAAACACAGCAAGUAGUGCGACCAAUAGAAACACAGCAAGUAGGGCGACCAAUAGAAACACAGUAAGUAGGGCGACCAAUAGAAACACAGCAAGGAGGGCGACCAAUAGGAGCACAGCAAGUAGGGUGACCAAUAGAAACACAGCAAGUAGGGUGACCAAUAGAAACACAGCAAGUAGGGCGACCAAUAGGAGCACAGCAAGGGAGCUAAUAAUUUUUCGACUCUCAGACGGGGCGCUUAUUCGGGGAAGGCGCUUAUUUAAAUGAGCAAAAUUUCGCACAAAAGAAUAUUAUUAUUCAUUUAAUAUUAUAUUUUAUACAAUUACAACAGUUUCCUUUCUCUAUGUCAUUAUUACAACUUGAAGUCAAAUUUCAUCCAUUAAACAUUUGUCUCUUUCUUG
Molecule: long non-coding RNA, 819 nt
Organism: Nematostella vectensis (starlet sea anemone)
Lineage: Eukaryota; Metazoa; Cnidaria; Anthozoa; Actiniaria; Edwardsiidae
Exons: 2
Source: RefSeq, a predicted model, not a curated record